This 220-nucleotide long non-coding RNA is filed under the name Capsicum annuum. Its description in RNAcentral is "long non-coding RNA (CANN_LNC015507)". The record is from RNAcentral. Lineage: Eukaryota; Viridiplantae; Streptophyta; Magnoliopsida; Solanales; Solanaceae.
GACCCUACCAAGUGACAUAUUUUAGAACCCAAGAAAGGAUAGUUUGUGUAUGGCAGUUAACACUAGGAGUGGUAAGGUAUUGAAAGCCCUCCUAUGGGCAAGCCUGUGGUUGAUAUUGUGGAAGAUGAUGUUGAAAAAGUAGAAAUUGAUCAUCCAGUGGAGACUAAGAAAUUUAAUGAGGUUAUUGAUGAUACACCAUCCAACCAUCAGCAGAUUAAUG